This 363-nucleotide transfer-messenger RNA is filed under the name Escherichia coli. It matches the Rfam family "transfer-messenger RNA". Rfam says of the family: Bacterial tmRNA, also known as 10Sa RNA or SsrA, is named for its dual tRNA and mRNA-like properties. Its role is to liberate the mRNA from a stalled ribosome. The record is from RNAcentral. Lineage: Bacteria; Pseudomonadati; Pseudomonadota; Gammaproteobacteria; Enterobacterales; Enterobacteriaceae.
GGGGCUGAUUCUGGAUUCGACGGAAUUUGCGAAACCCAAGGUGCAUGCCGAGGGGCGGUUGGCCUCGUAAAAAGCCGCAAAAAAUAGUCGCAAACGACGAAAACUACGCUUUAGCAGCUUAAUAACCUGCUUAGAGCCCUCUCUCCCUAGCCUCCGCUCUUAGGACGGGGAUCAAGAGAGGUCAAACCCAAAAGAGAUCGCGUGGAAGCCCUGCCUGGGGUUGAAGCGUUAAAACUUAAUCAGGCUAGUUUGUUAGUGGCGUGUCCGUCCGCAGCUGGCAAGCGAAUGUAAAGACUGACUAAGCAUGUAGUACCGAGGACGUAGGAAUUUCGGACGCGGGUUCAACUCCCGCCAGCUCCACCA